RNAcentral lists this small RNA (31 nucleotides) under Bombyx mori (domestic silkworm). RNAcentral describes it as "ovarian small RNA-25946". The record is from RNAcentral. Lineage: Eukaryota; Metazoa; Arthropoda; Insecta; Lepidoptera; Bombycidae.
UCAUAGGUCCUUCCCGGCCUCACAGCCGACA